UUGCACGCUGGCGGCAUGCUUUACACAUGCCAGUCGAGCGGUAACAGGCCUUCGGGUGCUGACGAGUGGCGAACGGGUGAGUAAUGCAUCGGAACGUACCCAGAGGUGGGGGAUAACGCAGCGAAAGCUGUGCUAAUACCGCAUGUGAUCUGAGGAUGAAAGCGGGGGACCGAGCAGCAAUGUUUGGCCUCGCGCCUUUGGAGCGGCCGAUGUCGGAUUAGCUAGUUGGUGGGGUAAAGGCCUACCAAGGCGACGAUCCGUAGCUGGUCUGAGAGGACGACCAGCCACACUGGGACUGAGACACGGCCCAGACUCCUACGGGAGGCAGCAGUGGGGAAUUUUGGACAAAGGGCGCAAGCCUGAUCCAGCAAUGCCGCGUGCGGGAAGAAGGCCUUCGGGUUGUAAACCGCUUUUGGCAGGAACGAAACGGUGUCCGCUAAUACCGGGCGCUAAUGACGGUACCUGCAGAAUAAGCACCGGCUAACUACGUG
RNAcentral lists this ribosomal RNA (491 nucleotides) under uncultured bacterium. Its description in RNAcentral is "partial 16S ribosomal RNA". It matches the Rfam family "Bacterial small subunit ribosomal RNA", at positions 29 to 507 of the family's 1533-position model. The record is from RNAcentral.